AACGAACGCUGGCGGCAGGCCUAACACAUGCAAGUCGAGCGUACCUUUCGGGGUCAGCGGCGGACGGGUGAGUAACGCGUGGGAAUAUGCCCUUCUCUACGGAAUAGUCCUGGGAAACUGGGGGUAAUACCGUAUACGCCCUUUGGGGGAAAGAUUUAUCGGGGAAGGAUUAGCCCGCGUUGGAUUAGGUAGUUGGUGGGGUAAUGGCCUACCAAGCCGACGAUCCAUAGCUGGUUUGAGAGGAUGAUCAGCCACACUGGGACUGAGACACGGCCCAGACUCCUACGGGAGGCAGCAGUGGGGAAUCUUAGACAAUGGGGGCAACCCUGAUCUAGCCAUGCCGCGUGAGUGAUGAAGGCCUUAGGGUUGUAAAGCUCUUUCAGCUGGGAAGAUAAUGACGGUACCAGCAGAAGAAGCCCCGGCUAACUCCGUG
This 433-nucleotide ribosomal RNA is filed under the name uncultured bacterium. Its description in RNAcentral is "partial 16S ribosomal RNA". It matches the Rfam family "Bacterial small subunit ribosomal RNA", at positions 29 to 507 of the family's 1533-position model. The record is from RNAcentral.